UGCCAGCCGCCGCGGUAAUACGGAGGGGGCUAGCGUUGUUCGGAAUUACUGGGCGUAAAGCGUGCGUAGGCGGAAUGGAAAGUUAGAUGUGAAAUCCCAGGGCUCAACCCUGGAACUGCAUUUAAAACUCCCAUUCUAGAGUUCUGGAGAGGUAAGUGGAAUUCCUAGUGUAGAGGUGAAAUUCGUAGAUAUUAGGAGGAACACCAGAGGCGAAGGCGGCUUACUGGACAGAUACUGACGCUGAGGCACGAAAGUGUGGGGAGCAAACAGGAUUAGAUA
Molecule: ribosomal RNA, 279 nt
Filed under: uncultured bacterium
Lineage: Bacteria
Description: partial 16S ribosomal RNA
Rfam family: Bacterial small subunit ribosomal RNA
Source: RNAcentral